GACGAACGCUGGCGGCGUGCUUAACACAUGCAAGUCGAACGGAAAGGCCCUGCUUGCAGGGUCCUCGAGUGGCGAACGGGUGAGUAACACGUGGGUGAUCUGCCCUGCACUUCGGGAUAAGCCUGGGAAACUGGGUCUAAUACCGGAUAGGAGCCAUUCUUAUUGUGGUGGUUGGAAAGUUUUUUCGGUGUAGGGUGAGCUCGCGGCCUAUCAGCUUGUUGGUGGGGUAAUGGCCUACCAAGGCGGCGACGGGUAGCCGGCCUGGGAGGGUGGACGGCCACAUUGGGACUGAGAUACGGCCCAGGCUCCUACGGGAGGCAGCAGGGGGGAAGAUUGCACAAUGGGCGCAAGCCUGAUGCAGCGACGCCGCGUGGGGGAUGACGGCCUUCGGGGUGUAAACGCCGUUCGCUAGGGACGAAGCUUUUUGUGACGGUACCUAGAUAAGAAGCACCGGCUAACUACGUG
Molecule: ribosomal RNA, 465 nt
Filed under: uncultured bacterium
Lineage: Bacteria
Description: partial 16S ribosomal RNA
Rfam family: Bacterial small subunit ribosomal RNA
Source: RNAcentral